GUGAGGAAUAUUGGUCAAUGGACGAGAGUCUGAACCAGCCAAGUAGCGUGAAGGAUGACUGCCCUAUGGGUUGUAAACUUCUUUUAUAAGGGAAUAAAGUGAGGGACGUGUCCCUUUUUGUAUGUACCUUAUGAAUAAGGAUCGGCUAACUCCGUGCCAGCAGCCGCGGUAAUACGGAGGAUCCAAGCGUUAUCCGGAUUUAUUGGGUUUAAAGGGAGCGUAGGUUGACAUAUAAGUCAGCUGUGAAAGUUUACGGCUCAACCGUGAAAUUGCAGUUGAUACUGUAUGUCAUGAGUGUACAAGAGGUGGGCGGAAUUCGUGGUGUAGCGGUGAAAUGCUUAGAUAUCACGAAGAACUCCAAUUGCGAAGGCAGCUCACUGGGGUACAACUGACACUGAGGCUCGAAAGUGUGGGUAUCAAACAGGAUUAGAUACCCCUGUAGUCC
RNAcentral lists this ribosomal RNA (445 nucleotides) under uncultured bacterium. Its description in RNAcentral is "partial 16S ribosomal RNA". It matches the Rfam family "Bacterial small subunit ribosomal RNA", at positions 354 to 796 of the family's 1533-position model. The record is from RNAcentral.